Molecule: non-coding RNA, 2203 nt
Organism: Paramuricea clavata
Lineage: Eukaryota; Metazoa; Cnidaria; Anthozoa; Malacalcyonacea; Plexauridae
Source: the annotation of a GenBank genome assembly
GCUAAUUUGUGACCGUUUCAAAUUUGCUAACAAAAGUUUAAACACUCAUAUCUCAGUCAAUCUUGGACGAAAAUGCCUGUCGAGUAUACCAAAAUUUAAGUUAGACAUCGCUGGAUGCAAUGCAACUCGAUUUUGGGUUCUACUGCUUAUGGUCUUUGAGCUAUAUGUAAUCAAACAGUUAUACUUUUUUUUGCGCCACCCGGUAUCAACAUAUUCAUAUUCAUCUGUGAAAACUAAAAGGAUUGUUCUAAAGCACAGCCGCCACAGUUGCAUGUCGGCUAUAUCCUCACUGAAACAGUGAAAACUUACAUACAUGCAACAGUACACGUGGAUUUUGAUUUGCGUUGUAUUGCGUCGAGACUGAUCACACAGCUUUCCAAGCUCCGAAUUUGAUUCUGGAGUUUUGAGUCAACAAAAUCAGUCAUUUACGUUUAAUCAUCGUAUCAGAUAACCUGGACAAAGACUACGAUGUCUUCGGAUUUAGGAAACAUUUCCAAUUCUUCAAGAUACUUUUCAUUUGCAUGGUUCCGUUUUCCAAUAGAGCCAGAAGAAAACAUUAAAGUAAUCGAAGUUCUUAUCGACAUCAUUCUGGGAAUGAGUUUAGUGUCAAAUAUUAUACUAUUCUGGAUGAUACGGAAAAAUCCAGAUAAAAAACCACGAAGUACUAAAGAUCUGUUGUUGGCUAAUCUUUCCAUAGUCAACUUUUUAGCUACAUUGUUUGGUGUGAUUGCCAGCAUCGACAACCACGUAAGGCCAUCCAAAACGACCUGGACUUACAAAGCUGGGGCAAUAAUGUUGUCCAUAGUUUUACCCAAAUACUAUCCAAGUGUGUUUAUACUUACACUAACACAAUAUGACAUGAUUGUUAAACCGUUUAAAUUUAAGUCAAUGGAUCCACAAAAGGUAAAAACGGCUAUGAUUUUCCUCGGUAUUAAUUGGGUUCUGACAACUGCUGUACUAAUAAUUAUUCCUAUCGUUUAUGACGAUUUUGAUAAAUACCUGAAAAUAAUGGUCACGGUUAUUGUCUGUAUUUCUUGGGUAAUAACUGCAUUCAUUGCCUACAUGUUCAUACGUAUCUUACACACGCUUUGGAAAAGACACAAUGAUCUUAAAAAAAGGUUCAAUGUAUCAGUAACACAGCAAGGAACUGUAGCUAUCCGUCAAAAUACCCGCUUAGCAAGAGUACUGUUUGUAUUCAUAGCAACCUUAGUUCUCUGCAGCUUGCCAUCAAAUACAACGUAUUUGUUCAUCAUACAUUGUUCACAAUGCGAUCAACGCGUUUUAGUAAAGGCUUGCCUGUAUACAUUACCAUUGUUUUUGGCUCUGCAAGUUAUUCUUCCGAUUUAUUGGCUUAUCGCAACGCCAACAUAUUAUAAAGAACUGAAGAGACAGGCUCGUAAACUAUUAGUAUUCUGUCGUUGUGGAAACGAAAAUUGAACAUCAAACGAAUUCAGAUAAUUCAGUACCAUAACACGUUUGCACAACAAAGGAUUGAGUUGACCUAAACAGAGUGAAGUCUUCAGUAAGUAUUCAGAAAGCGACUUCGUCGCAAGCUCCAUGAUUUAUGGUUUUUCAUACCUUAAGAACAACUAAAAACUGCAUGCUUUAAUUUUGGAGUUUAAGAUAUAGCAAAAGCACAAGACUUAGAAUUUCAAAUUAAAGACUUCAAUACAAUUGUUCACUUUAGGAUAGGUCAAUAUAAUUGUUUAGAAUUCAAGACCUGGAACUGUUGGUUAUUUAACCCCGCUCUCACAACUAGAUUAUAAGAGAGUUUACGACAUAAGAGAGUUCGCCAAUCGUCGUUCGCCAAUUCUAAACCCGUCGCCAAUCACGUAAGCUCUCCAUGCAAAUGCUACGACCAACUUUCAAUGCGAGAUCUCAAGUGAACUAUCGAUACCGACUGAGAAUGAAAAAUGGAAUGAAUGGAAUAUUUUUUCGUUCUUCUCGAUCGCAGUGUCAGGAAUAAUGUCAAUGAAACUGCUUUUCAUAUCUCUGAAGAUGAUUCUCAAUAUUUGGAUGAAUUAGCGAAUAUGUACAUUAUAUCCAGAAUUUUUCCAAUUUAUUUACCCUAAACGUUUGAUAAAGAUCAGAGCGAACGAGAGUGUAUUGUAAAAUUUGGUGUGGGAAAGAAUAUCGAACCUCAAUUGAAAACAAUAUUUUAAAAAUACUGUUCAGAAAUGCUGUGUAACCAUUGCUUAACCGU